UGCUGCUUGAGUUCAUUGUCGUCACCAUCUCCUCGUCGUCGUCUCCGUCUUCACCAUCCCGGGGCACUGUUAGACAGCCUACCAACUGUUCGAACUAAGUAGUGCCACCGACAAUAGAAGGUCUUAAUAAUAAUAGUGUGCACCCAUGUAGGGUGUGUGUUAUCCCGAUGGUGCUUGUUAAAUAAAAAGUUCCUCCAGUUAUUACUGUCUCAGAGUUGAGUCACUCCACAAGCACAGCCACACGAGACAGUAUUCCCACCUUACAAGUCUGUGACUUAAAAUUAAACUACAAACUUUUUCUUAUUUCACCAGCGAUGGGAGGAAGGACAGCCCGGAGGAACCGUUGCCAGGAGGCAGCGCGAGUGUCACCACCCCACCGCCCCCAUAAACCGGCUCGUGCUCAGUUUCCACGAGCUUCGAGAUGGUGCUGGUGUAGUGUGGGCAUCACGGACGGGGUGAACGCAUACUGCGAUUAGCACGAACGUGGUGUUCUUGAGGAACGCAACUAUACUGCAUUAUAGGAGAACGGACUGUACGUACGUACAAGAGGAGCGGCUCCCACGCACACCCAAAACAUCGCCGGGCAACCAUCGGUCACUUUGGACGAGUCACACUACCCCACGAUUGCACAAAAAGUCACAUCCGGGGUGCCCUCC
Long non-coding RNA from Lethenteron reissneri (Far Eastern brook lamprey), 656 nucleotides. RefSeq lists it as uncharacterized. NCBI's taxonomy places the organism in Eukaryota, Metazoa, Chordata, Hyperoartia, Petromyzontiformes, Petromyzontidae. The record is from RefSeq and is a predicted model, not a curated record.